Olea europaea var. sylvestris is the source of this 440-nucleotide long non-coding RNA. RefSeq lists it as uncharacterized. Lineage: Eukaryota; Viridiplantae; Streptophyta; Magnoliopsida; Lamiales; Oleaceae. The record is from RefSeq and is a predicted model, not a curated record. The transcript is spliced from 3 exons.
CCCUAUUUGUACAAGUUUUCCUUCCUUCUCCUCUGAUAUGCUAUCAUCUCAUCUCGUGGGCGCAUAGUGGAAGCACGUAGUGAUAAAUUUUGGAAGAGCAAAGGUAAGAGACAUUACAAACCUUCGAGGGGCAACACGUUUCUUCCGUUUUUGAGAAAUCCUAGCAACCCAUUUAUGGUGUUAAUCCUGAAUAUUUUACUGUUGAAGUACAUUAUGAAGGCCAAUUUUAUGAUAAACCAAACAAUGUGGUGUAUGAAGGGAGGUUCGUGCUUUUCGUUGACUUCUUUUAUUGUAAAUGGUGCACAGAAGAGAAUUUGAGUAAAUUCUUACAUGGAACUUGUUAUGAAAGGAUGUUGAAGGCGGGAAGAGGGGGGUGUAAAUGGAUUGAGAAUAUUUUAUCCUUGGUGUUUGAAAAGAAAAAUGUAUUUUUGUAUUGAAUG